CGGACGGGUGAGUAACACGUAAGAAUUUGCCUCUAGGAGGGGGAUAACAACUGGAAACGGUUGCUAAUACCCCAUAUGCUUUCGAGUGAAAUGGUUUUCCGCCUAGAGAGAAGCUUGCGGCUGAUUAGCUUGUUGGUAAGGUAAUGGCUUACCAAGGCGACGAUCAGUAUCUGGUUUGAGAGGACGAUCAGACACACUGGAACUGAGACACGGUCCAGACUCCUACGGGAGGCAGCAGUGGGGAAUUUUCCGCAAUGGGCGAAAGCCUGACGGAGCAAUCUCGCGUGAGGGAUGACGGCCUAUGGGUUGUAAACCUCUUUUUUCAGGGAGGAAUAAAUGACGUGUACCUGAAGAAUAAGCAUCGGCUAACUCCGUGCCAGCAGCCGCGGUAAGACGGAGGAUGCAAGUGUUAUCCGGAAUCACUGGGCGUAAAGCGUCUGUAGGUGGUUUAAUAAGUCAACUGUUAAAUCUUGAAGCUCAACUUCAAAAUCGCAGUCGAAACUAUUAGACUAGAGUAUAGUAGGGGUAAAGGGAAUUUCCAGUGGAGCGGUGAAAUGCGUAGAGAUUGGAAAGAACACCGAUGGCGAAGGCACUUUACUGGGCUAUUACUGACACUCAGAGACGAAAGCUAGGGUAGCAAAUGGGAUUAGAUACCCCAGUAGUCCUAGCCGUAAACAAUGGAUACUAGAUGUUGAACAGAUCGACCUGUGCAGUAUUAAAGCUAACGCGUUAAGUAUCCCGCCUGGGAAGUAUGCUCGCAAGAGUG
RNAcentral lists this ribosomal RNA (766 nucleotides) under uncultured bacterium. Its description in RNAcentral is "bacterial SSU rRNA". It matches the Rfam family "Bacterial small subunit ribosomal RNA", at positions 99 to 896 of the family's 1533-position model. The record is from RNAcentral.